AUACGGAGGGUGCAAGCGUUAAUCGGAUUUACUGGGCGUAAAGCGCGCGUAGGUGGUUUGAUCAGUCGGAUGUGAAAGCCCAGGGCUCAACCUUGGAAUUGCAUUCGAUACUGUCAGACUAGAGUUUAGUAGAGGAAGGUGGAAUUCCAGGUGUAGCGGUGAAAUGCGUAGAUAUCUGGAGGAAUACCAGUGGCGAAGGCGGCCUUCUGGACUAAAACUGACACUGAGGUGCGAAAGCGUGGGGAGCAAACAGGAUUAGAAACCCGGGUAGUCC
This 274-nucleotide ribosomal RNA is filed under the name uncultured bacterium. RNAcentral's name for it is "partial 16S ribosomal RNA". It matches the Rfam family "Bacterial small subunit ribosomal RNA", at positions 523 to 796 of the family's 1533-position model. The record is from RNAcentral.